Caenorhabditis tropicalis is the source of this 78-nucleotide non-coding RNA. The record is from Rfam. Lineage: Eukaryota; Metazoa; Nematoda; Chromadorea; Rhabditida; Rhabditidae.
CGGCCGCUGAUAUGUCUGAUAUUCUUGGGUUCGACUCGAGACUAAUCGAACCAGUUUAUUAGACGUAUCGACGGCCGG